CGCGUAGGCGGUUUGUUAUGUCAGAUGUGAAAGCCCCGGGCUUAACCUGGGAACUGCAUUUGAAACUGGCAGACUAGAGAUCGAGAGAGGAAAGUGGAAUUACAAGUGUAGAGGUGAAAUUCGUAGAUAUUUGUAAGAACACCAGUGGCGAAGGCGACUUUCUGGCUCGAUACUGACGCUAAGGCGCGAAAGCGUGGGGGGCAAACAGGAUUAGAUACCCUGGUAGUCCACGCUGUAAACGAUGAGUGCUAGAUGUUGGUGGAGCGAUCCAUCAGUGUCGCAGCUAACGCGUUAAGCACUCCGCCUGGGGAGUACGGUCGCAAGAUUAAA
RNAcentral lists this ribosomal RNA (330 nucleotides) under uncultured bacterium. Its description in RNAcentral is "bacterial SSU rRNA". It matches the Rfam family "Bacterial small subunit ribosomal RNA", at positions 568 to 898 of the family's 1533-position model. The record is from RNAcentral.